CGGGAUAUAGCGCAGUUUGGUAGCGCGCCUGCCUUGGGAGCAGGAUGUCGCAGGUUCAAGUCCUGCUAUCCCGA
Molecule: transfer RNA, 74 nt
Filed under: Spermothamnion repens
Lineage: Eukaryota; Rhodophyta; Florideophyceae; Ceramiales; Ceramiaceae
Description: tRNA-Pro
Rfam family: tRNA
About the family: Transfer RNA (tRNA) molecules are approximately 80 nucleotides in length. Their secondary structure includes four short double-helical elements and three loops (D, anti-codon, and T loops). Further hydrogen bonds mediate the characteristic L-shaped molecular structure. tRNAs have two regions of fundamental functional importance: the anti-codon, which is responsible for specific mRNA codon recognition, and the 3' end, to which the tRNAs corresponding amino acid is attached (by aminoacyl-tRNA synthetases). tRNAs cope with the degeneracy of the genetic code in two manners: having more than one tRNA (with a specific anti-codon) for a particular amino acid; and 'wobble' base-pairing, i.e. permitting non-standard base-pairing at the 3rd anti-codon position.
Source: RNAcentral